AUGGAGCACAGCUGGAGGAAAACAAAACUAGAGGUCACCGUAGCCACCAGAUCCAGUCUGUAUCCAAGUCAGAGGGUCACUGCAGUCACCCGGAUCCAGUCUGUAUCCAGCCCAGAUGGUGGAUCAGCACCUAGAAAGGACCUCUACAGCCCUGAAAGACAGUGGAGACCAGGACAACUAGAGCCCAAGAGACAGAUCCCCUGUAAAGACCUUGUCUCAGACGACCACCGGGACAAGACCACAGGAAACAGAUGAUUCUUCUGCACAAUCUGACUUUGCUGCAGCCUGGAAUUGAACUGCUGGUUUCGUCUGGCCAGAGGAGAACUGCCCCCCCACCAACUGAGCCUGGUUUCUCCCAAGGUUUUUUUCUCCAUUCUGUCACUGAUGGAGUUUUGGUUCCUUGCCGCCUCUGGCUUGCUUAGUUGGGGACACUUCAUUUACCGCGAUAUCGUUGACUUGAUUGCAAAUUAUUGCACAGAUACUAUUUAAACUGAACUGAGCUGCAUGAUGACAUCACUGAAUUCAGUGAUGAACUGCCUUUAACUGUCAUUUUGCAUUAUUGACACUGUUUUCCUAAUUAAUGUUGUUCAGUUGCUUUGACGCAAUCUUUUUUGUUUAAAGCGCUAUAUAAAUGAAGAUGACUUGACUUGACCAAGAGCUUGUAACACUCCAAAGAGAAAGGAAAAUUUGAAAUCGCAUCAUAUGACCCCUUUAAUUUCAAGUGAUCAAAUCAGAUUUGUGUGUCCAGACAUAACCAACUUAUCUGCAUUGAUUGCUUUGGAUACGACAAGACAUACCUUUCCCGAGAAUAGUUAAAAUAGAGGUUGGUGCAGAACUCUUCUGUCACUAGCGAUGUGACGAGGUCUCGUGGUAUGAGAUCUCGUAAAAUCCGAUGUGUCCCACGAGAUCUGGCUGGUCUCACGAGAACGUGAUGAUAUCCUCGCAAAACAAUUUGCAGUUUACAUUAGAGCUGCACAAUUAAUCGUUUAAAGAUCACAAUUUCAAUUCAAACACACACAAUCAAUCUUAUUCCUGAAAGACAACAAUUCAGCUAUGUCUAUUACAACUGUUUCACAUCGCUAGUGUCAGUGGAGCGUGAGAAGCACGUUUUGUCGCUGCCCAUGUUAAUGAAUCAUUCAGGCUGCUGCUGAUCCAGAAAGAGUUAUACAAACAGUAUUUUCAAUUACACAUCAUAAUUUCUGUGUUACAGACAUUUAAUUGUCUUUAUGAAUUGAGACACUGACUCCUUCAUUUAUAUAUUUAUUUUUUAAUUUUGUUCAAAUUAAUAUAUUUUUUAAAAGACUUAAGCAUUUUGUCAAAACCACUAGUAAAUUGUGUUAUUUUGUUUAGUGAGAUAAUUUGUUAAUUGUGAGAUAAUCGUGAUCUCCAAUUUAUAUAUAUAUAUAUAUAUAUAUAUAUAUAUAUAUAUAUAUAUAUAUAUAUAUAUAAACAUGAUUCUCAAUUUAUCCAGAAUCGUGCAGCUCUAGUUUGCAUGUUGUUUAUUGCUGCAUAGAAUAGAUAUAUUAUAUUAUAU
Molecule: long non-coding RNA, 1534 nt
Organism: Cyprinus carpio carpio
Lineage: Eukaryota; Metazoa; Chordata; Actinopteri; Cypriniformes; Cyprinidae
Source: Ensembl